Molecule: long non-coding RNA, 322 nt
Filed under: Elaeis guineensis (African oil palm)
Lineage: Eukaryota; Viridiplantae; Streptophyta; Magnoliopsida; Arecales; Arecaceae
Description: long non-coding RNA (EGUI_LNC034710)
Source: RNAcentral
GGACCAUAUCUAUCUUUAAAUUUUCAUAGAAUGUUAAUACUUCCGUAGUCGGUUUCUCAGGCAUCACAUAUUUUGUCCUGCUUAUUUAGAUUUUGCAGAACUCGUAUUAUGUUUAGGUUUAAUGAGAACUACAUAAAAAAUGAGUUAAAUUUGGGUCUGAUCCUGUCUAAGAGACUCAAUGGAGCCAUCGACAAAUAGAACCAGGCCUCUUUAGCACCAGAGUCUAGAUAUGGGGUGCAAAAUUUUCCUUUGAUCUACUGCCAUGUCAUCCUUUUCUUUUGUUUAUUAAUUAAAAUGGAUGGAAGACUAACCAAAAUCGGGC